This 468-nucleotide ribosomal RNA is filed under the name uncultured bacterium. Its description in RNAcentral is "partial 16S ribosomal RNA". It matches the Rfam family "Bacterial small subunit ribosomal RNA", at positions 28 to 507 of the family's 1533-position model. The record is from RNAcentral.
GACGAACGCUGGCGGCGUGCUUAACACAUGCAAGUCGAACGGAAAGGCCCUGCUUUUGUGGGGUGCUCGAGUGGCGAACGGGUGAGUAACACGUGAGUAACCUGCCCUUGACUUUGGGAUAACUUCAGGAAACUGGGGCUAAUACCGGAUAGGAGCUCCUGCUGCAUGGUGGGGGUUGGAAAGUUUCGGCGGUUGGGGAUGGACUCGCGACUUAUCAGCUUGUUGGUGGGGUAGUGGCUUACUAAGGCUUUGACGGGUAGCCGGCCUGAGAGGGUGACCGGCCACAUUGGGACUGAGAUACGGCCCAGACUCCUACGGGAGGCAGCAGUGGGGAAUAUUGCACAAUGGGCGGAAGCCUGAUGCAGCAACGCCGCGUGCGGGAUGACGGCCUUCGGGUUGUAAACCGCUUUCGCCUGUGACGAAGCGUGAGUGACGGUAAUGGGUAAAGAAGCACCGGCUAACUACGUG